RNAcentral lists this long non-coding RNA (863 nucleotides) under Homo sapiens (human). RNAcentral's name for it is "HSALNT0068010". Lineage: Eukaryota; Metazoa; Chordata; Mammalia; Primates; Hominidae. The record is from RNAcentral.
GCGGCACGUUUCUCGGCCUGGGUCGUGGCGCAUCUCCCAUUGGUUCCGGCCUGGGUGGAGCGCGGCUCUGCUUGGUUCCUGCCCAGGUGGGGGCGUGUCUCCUCCCUGGCGGGAACCCGGAACCCGGAACCCGGAAGGCGCGGCCUGUGGCGGGUACUGACUGCUUCCCACGGUCCCGUGGCCGCUGCAGGCCCCGUACGCGCCGUCUAUUGUUUUGAGCCGCUUAAAGUUUUGGAGUAACCUUUUAGGUCGCAACAGUUGACAACUACACUGAGUCUUUCCGGUCCCACUGCCCUGGCCGUUGACCGCACACCGGCCACCGACUGAGCCGCUAGUUUCGGUUGCCGCUGCCUCCCUGCCCGUCCAUGACGUCCUCCACUGUGUCGCCGGUGCAUGACGCUCCCACCCUCUGCCUGGAGUUGACUGGGUUUGUAUCCUGAAGAAUCCCUGGCUCAGCAGGACGCAGCUGCAAACAUAAGUGAACCGGAAAGGCUGCUCACUCCUUGGCUACCCAUGUGUCCCCACAUCAGUUCCUGCAUCUGGAAGCAGCCGCAGUGGCGACCACACAGUGACUUCCCCCAGGACGUGUCUCUGCCCCUCCCACCCUGCUCCUGCAGAGGGCCCUGGGUCAGGGGUUCUCAAGACCCCAGAGUCCCUAACCAGAAAUCAGAGGGGAAGGUUCCUACUGUACCCGCCUCCCAACCAAUGGGUUUUUCCUCCUUAUUCUGAACAAAGCACGCCACGCACGCAAUUCCACCUCUAAGGUGGCUUCUCCAAUACCCACAGGCCAUUCUCCAACUAUGACAAAAGUUUGGUUUUAAUAUCGGGCAACACAAAACACAGUACAUCACUUCAGACUAAAU